This 465-nucleotide ribosomal RNA is filed under the name Vreelandella stevensii. RNAcentral's name for it is "partial 16S ribosomal RNA". It matches the Rfam family "Bacterial small subunit ribosomal RNA", at positions 338 to 795 of the family's 1533-position model. Lineage: Bacteria; Pseudomonadati; Pseudomonadota; Gammaproteobacteria; Oceanospirillales; Halomonadaceae. The record is from RNAcentral.
CCUACGGGGGGCUGCAGUGGGGAAUAUUGGACAAUGGGCGAAAGCCUGAUCCAGCCAUGCCGCGUGUGUGAAGAAGGCCUUCGGGUUGUAAAGCACUUUCAGUGGGGAAGAAAGCCUUGGGGCUAAUACCCUCGAGGAAGGACAUCACCCACAGAAGAAGCACCGGCUAACUCCGUGCCAGCAGCCGCGGUAAUACGGAGGGUGCGAGCGUUAAUCGGAAUUACUGGGCGUAAAGCGCGCGUAGGCGGUCUGAUAAGCCGGUUGUGAAAGCCCCGGGCUCAACCUGGGAACGGCAUCCGGAACUGUCAGGCUAGAGUGCAGUAGAGGAAGGUAGAAUUCCCGGUGUAGCAGUGAAAUGCGUAGAGAUCGGGAGGAAUACCAGUGGCGAAGGCGGCCUUCUGGACUGACACUGACGCUGAGGUGCGAAAGCGUGGGUAGCAAACAGGAUUAGAUACCCCAGUAGUC